This 496-nucleotide ribosomal RNA is filed under the name uncultured bacterium. RNAcentral's name for it is "partial 16S ribosomal RNA". It matches the Rfam family "Bacterial small subunit ribosomal RNA", at positions 29 to 507 of the family's 1533-position model. The record is from RNAcentral.
AUGAACGCUGGCGGCGUGCCUAAUACAUGCAAGUCGAGCGCACAGAUGAGGAGCUUGCUCCUCUGACGUUAGCGGCGGACGGGUGAGUAACACGUGGAUAACCUACCUAUAAGACUGGGAUAACUUCGGGAAACCGGAGCUAAUACCGGAUAAUAUAUUGAACCGCAUGGUUCAAUAGUGAAAGACGGUUUUGCUGUCACUUAUAGAUGGAUCCGCGCCGCAUUAGCUAGUUGGUAAGGUAACGGCUUACCAAGGCAACGAUGCGUAGCCGACCUGAGAGGGUGAUCGGCCACACUGGAACUGAGACACGGUCCAGACUCCUACGGGAGGCAGCAGUAGGGAAUCUUCCGCAAUGGGCGAAAGCCUGACGGAGCAACGCCGCGUGAGUGAUGAAGGUCUUCGGAUCGUAAAACUCUGUUAUUAGGGAAGAACAAAUGUGUAAGUAACUAUGCACGUCUUGACGGUACCUAAUCAGAAAGCCACGGCUAACUACGUG